RNAcentral lists this transfer RNA (70 nucleotides) under uncultured Bulleidia sp. It matches the Rfam family "tRNA". From Rfam's summary of the family: Transfer RNA (tRNA) molecules are approximately 80 nucleotides in length. Their secondary structure includes four short double-helical elements and three loops (D, anti-codon, and T loops). Lineage: Bacteria; Bacillati; Bacillota; Erysipelotrichia; Erysipelotrichales; Erysipelotrichaceae. The record is from RNAcentral. RNAcentral also lists the same sequence under 1 other name.
CGACUUAGCUUAGUUGGUAGAGCAAUGCACUCGUAACGCAUAGGUCGUAGGUUCAAGUCCUAUAGUCGGC